GUGGACAGGGGACGUUCGCUCAACAGGCGAGCAUCUGCAAACGAUAAAUAUCCCAACUGCGGCAGGGAAGCCUCGCCGUUUACGGCGAGGAGGAUGUCACCGAGCAGCAAACC
RNAcentral lists this unclassified non-coding RNA (113 nucleotides) under Halohasta litchfieldiae. RNAcentral describes it as "HgcC family RNA". The record is from RNAcentral. Lineage: Archaea; Methanobacteriati; Methanobacteriota; Halobacteria; Halobacteriales; Haloferacaceae.